UACCGCUACAACUCCUGUAAGCCAGGAUCUACAGUAGAUACAACCAUGAAAACAUCAGCUUAUCCCAAACAAACUACAAAUAAAAUUGUACAUGUUUAAUAAAAUGUUUAAACAAUUGCAGAUGUGCAUAAAAUGUACCAUCAUCAUCCAAUCCCGUUGAAACCUCGGACAAACUUGGGGCUUGACCGGCAUGGACCAAUGUCUUGCAUGGCGACCACCACACCGAGCCCGCCGCCACAAUUUAUUCACCCAGCGUUGCCAACUACAGCCUCGUGGUUCUUCAGACCAAUGACGUGGAACUUCUCCCCGGGUUUGACGUCAUUCUACAGUCCCGGCAACAGCAACGGCUGGUCUAAAAUCAAAACGUUCCAGUAUCAUUUUUGAAAAGAUCAUUUGUAUAAAAUAAAGUGCUUUAAUACCA
This is a long non-coding RNA of Spodoptera frugiperda (fall armyworm), 421 nucleotides long. RefSeq lists it as uncharacterized. Lineage: Eukaryota; Metazoa; Arthropoda; Insecta; Lepidoptera; Noctuidae. The record is from RefSeq and is a predicted model, not a curated record. The transcript has 2 exons.